Molecule: ribosomal RNA, 440 nt
Filed under: uncultured bacterium
Lineage: Bacteria
Description: partial 16S ribosomal RNA
Rfam family: Bacterial small subunit ribosomal RNA
Source: RNAcentral
CCUACGGGAGGCAGCAGUGGGGAAUAUUGGACAAUGGGGGGAACCCUGAUCCAGCGACGCCGCGUGAGUGAAGAAGUAUUUCGGUAUGUAAAGCUCUAUCAGCAGGGAAGAAAAUGACGGUACCUGACUACGAAGCCCCGGCUAACUACGUGCCAGCAGCCGCGGUAAUACGUAGGGGGCCAGCGGUAUCCGGAUUUACUGGGGGUAAAGGGGGCGUAGACGGUGCAGCAAGUCUGAUGUGAAAGGUCGGGGCCCAACCCCGGGACUGAAUUGGAAACUAUUAGACUAGAGGGCAGGAGGGGUAAGUGGAAUGCCUAGUGUAGCGGUGGAAUGCGUAGAUAUUAGGAGGAACAUCAGGGGCGAAGGCGACUUACUGGACUGUAACUGACACUGAGGCACGAAAGCGUGGGGAGCAAACAGGAUUAGAUACCCUGGUAGUC